RNAcentral lists this ribosomal RNA (465 nucleotides) under uncultured bacterium. Its description in RNAcentral is "partial 16S ribosomal RNA". It matches the Rfam family "Bacterial small subunit ribosomal RNA", at positions 28 to 507 of the family's 1533-position model. The record is from RNAcentral.
GACGAACGCUGGCGGUGUGCUUAACACAUGCAAGUCGAACGGUAAGGCCCUUUCGGGGGUCCACGAGUGGCGAACGGGUGAGUAACACGUGAGUAACCUGCCCUCAUCUCUGGGAUAACAGUCGGAAACGGUUGCUAAUACUGGAUAUGAGCCUGCACGGCAUCUUGUGGGUUGGAAAGAUUUUUUGGUUGGGGAUGGACUCGCGUCCUAUCUGCUUGUUGGUGUGGUAGUGGCUCACCAAGGCUUCGACGGGUAGCCGGCCUGAGAGGGCGACCGGCCACAUUGGGACUUAGAUACGGCCCAAGCUCCUACGUGAGGCAGAAGGGGGGAAGAUUGCACAAGGGACGGAGGUCGGGUGCAGCAACGCCGCGUGCGGUAGGACGGCCUUCGGGUUGUAAACCGCUUUCAAUUGUGACGAAGCUUUUUGUGACGGUAGCAGAAGAAGAAGCACCGGCUAACUACGUG